AGAACCUUACCAAGUCUUGACAUCCCUCUGACCGUCCCUUAACCGGGGCUUUCCUUCGGGACAGGGGAGACAGGUGGUGCAUGGUUGUCGUCAGCUCGUGUCGUGAGAUGUUGGGUUAAGUCCCGCAACGAGCGCAACCCCUGUCCUUAGUAGCCAGCAGUAAGAUGGGCACUCUAGGGAGACUGCCGGGGACAACCCGGAGGAAGGCGGGGACGACGUCAAAUCAUCAUGCCCCUUAUGAUUUGGGCUACACACGUGCUACAAUGGCGUAAACAAAGGGAAGCGAGCCUGCGAGGGGGAGCGAAUCCCAAAAAUAACGUCCCAGUUCGGACUGCAGUCUGCAACUCGACUGCACGAAGCUGGAAUCGCUAGUAAUCGCGGAUCAGAAUGCCGCGGUGAAUACGUUCCCGGGUCUUGUACACACCG
This 426-nucleotide ribosomal RNA is filed under the name uncultured bacterium. Its description in RNAcentral is "bacterial SSU rRNA". It matches the Rfam family "Bacterial small subunit ribosomal RNA", at positions 965 to 1392 of the family's 1533-position model. The record is from RNAcentral.